Molecule: ribosomal RNA, 1352 nt
Filed under: Prevotella intermedia
Lineage: Bacteria; Pseudomonadati; Bacteroidota; Bacteroidia; Bacteroidales; Prevotellaceae
Description: bacterial SSU rRNA
Source: RNAcentral
CUGGACGUCGACCGGCGCACGGGUGAGUAUCGCGUAUCCAACCUGCCCCUUACUUGGGGAUACCCCGUUGAAAGACGGCCUAAUACCCGAUGUGUUUCAUUGACGGCAUCCGAUAUGAAACAAAGGUUUUUCCGGUAAGGGAUGGGGAUGCGUCUGAUUAGCUKGUUGGCGGGGCAACGGCCCACCAAGGCRACRAUCAGUAGGGGUUCUGAGAGGAAGGYCCCCCACAUUGRAACUGARACACGGUCCAAACUCCUACGGRAGGCAGCAGUGAGGAAUAUUGGUCAAKGGACGCAAGUCUGAACCAGCCAAGUAGCGUGCAGGAUGACGGCCCUAUGGGUUGUAAACUGCUUUUUGUGGRAAUAAAGUGGCGCACGUGUGCGCCAUUGCAUGYCCUCAUGAAUAAGGACCGGCUAAUUCCGUGCCAGCAGCCGCGGUAAUACGGAAGGUCCGGGCGUUAUCCGGAUUUAUUGGGUUNAAAGGGAGUGUAGGCGGUCUGUUAAGCGUGUUGUGAAAUUUAGGUGCUCAACAUUUAACUUGCAGCGCGAACUGUCAGACUUGAGUACACGCAGCGCAGGCGGAAUUCAUGGUGUAGCGGUGANAUGCUUAGAUAUCAUGAGGAACUCCGAUCGCGAAGGCAGCCUGCGGGAGUGUUACUGACGCUUAAGCUCGAAGGUGCGGGUAUCGAACAGGAUUAGAUACCCUGGUAGUCCGCACAGUNAACGAUGGAUGCCCGCCGUUGGCGCCCUGCGCCUGCGNNCAAGCGAAAGCAUUAAGCAUCCCACCUGGGNAGUACGCCGGCAACSGUGAAACUCAAAGGAAUUGACGGGGGCCCGCACAAGCGGAGGAACAUGUGGUUUAAUUCGAUGAUACGCGAGGAACCUUACCCGGGCUUGAAUUGCAGUCGCUGCCCACAGAGACGUGGGCUUCCCUUCGGGGCGUCUGUGAAGGUGCUGCAUGGUUGUCGUCAGCUCGUGCCGUGAGGUGUCGGCUUAAGUGCCAUAACGAGCGCAACCCCCUUUCCCAGUUGCCAUCGGGUGAUGCCGGGCACUCUGGGGACACUGCCACCGCAAGGUGCGAGGAAGGUGGGGAUGACGUCAAAUCAGCACGGCCCUUACGUCCGGGGCUACACACGUGUUACAAUGGCCGGUACAGAGGGACGGUGUAAUGCAAGUUGCAUCCAAUCUUGAAAUCCGGUCCCAGUUCGGACUGGGGUCUGCAACCCGACCCCACGAAGCUGGAUUCGCUAGUAAUCGCGCAUCAGCCAUGGCGCGGUGAAUACGUUCCCGGGCCUUGUACACACCGCCCGUCAAGCCAUGAAAGCCGGGGGUGCCUGAAGUUCGUGACCGCGA